UUAGAUUCGUGUGUAGGUCUUGGAGUAUUCCAACAAUAAAAAUUGAAUUAAACCUUAUUUAUUUUCAAAGUUUUAAAAUGCUUUAAACUAUUAAAAUGGUACUUAAAAUUGAUUUUAUCGCUUGAGAAUGACGGUUAAUAACCUCUCAACACUCCGACACAUUGAAAUAGAAAAGGCCUACUUUUUCAAAUUGCUCCUGUAAUAAUACAUAAAGAAUAUACAGUUUAAUUGUUUUGAAUACAGUAAAACAUGUUUAUAAUGAAAAAAUAAGAAUAUUUAAUUGUUGUGUAUUUUUAUGAAGCAGACAGUGAAGAUCAUAAUCUCAUUUAAAAAAGAAUGCAUAAACAUUUUUUAUUAUUAACUCCAAAAAGAUGAUUUUUAUUUUAAUCUGAUCUGACACAUGAAUAUUAUCGUACAUUAUUAUUUUAUUACCAAUUAGAUGAAAAGAUAGAAUUAUUUUCUAUUUCAGAUAUGUUUUUCGAAUGAAUUUCUAUUCUAAAAUGACACAAAUAGGAUAACAGGAAAGGGUUAAUUUGAUGUCAUCUGGUAAACUUCGUUACCACUAAAAAAUAUUUAAUAAACUUAUAUGAAUGGAGUCUCUUUAUAAACAUAAGACAAAGAGUAUAAAAUAAAUCAAUUUAUUUCAAAUAUUCCAACAAUUUUGUUCUUUAAAUGAUGAAUCUACUCCAUAUCCAAGAUUUUGAAAGAUUAUCAGAAUUAUUUACAAAGAAUAAAUUCAAUGUUAAAUUAUUAUAAACAAUUAUAUAUAACAACUUACUAAGAAGUAUGUACGAAGUAAUUACAGAAUGCAACACUUAUUAUAUAGGGGUUCUAAUACUCAGUGCAUUUCAUGUUAAUCAUUUGAAUUCACAUGAACUUGCAGUGAUAAUAUUAAAAAAAAUUAUUUCUUAAUAAAUUUAAAACAAAAUGAUAAAUAAAUUUAUGUUAACUGAUUUACAUGAAAAAAAAAUGAAGAAAACUGGAAAGAUAAGAUUUAACAGACUUUAUGGAAACCACAUUAAUUGCUGUAAAUGAUCUAUGAUUACAAAUUGUUAUAUUAAGAUAUAAUAAUGAUUAAAAAUAACAUACUGAUAUAAGUAAAAUUUCUUAUCUUAAGACCAUAUCGCGUGAGUGAACCAUCCUCGUGGAAAGAAAGGAAGCUUCUGAAAUCAGCAUGUAACGAUGUAAAAUCACCGAUGCGUAAAUUAAAGGGUUCUCCACGAAUACGUAGACACAGGAAAAAAAAUUCUACGUUAUAUAUUUAUUAUUAACAGAAGUUUAAUUAGAACUUUUACAUAUUGAAGAAUCGCUUUAUAUCUAGAGAAAUGAAUUAAUUCUUUCUGAUUAUCAACCUGACUUGAUGUGCUCAUUCAACAAAAUCAAUUUUGAAUAUUAAAAAAAAAACCUAAAAAUUUCUA
Molecule: long non-coding RNA, 1418 nt
Organism: Chelonus insularis
Lineage: Eukaryota; Metazoa; Arthropoda; Insecta; Hymenoptera; Braconidae
Exons: 3
Source: RefSeq, a predicted model, not a curated record